UCUCCUUAAAAUCAUGAAAAUGCUUCUUCAUUAACUGUUGGACCUCUUGUAAAUAUUUCUGAUAUAUAAUGAUAUUGGGGUAAUAACCAGCCAAAUGCUCUUUCAAUCUCGUCACUCCACCCUACUCUAUUCCAUAUCACACCACGGUGUCUACUUGAAAUCAUUAUAGUAUAUGUUAGCAUCCUUGUCUUUCUCUUUCCUUCUUAAAUCUUUUUCUAUAAAUUUCAUGAACACAUAUGUUGCCCAGAAGUAUAGCAACCC
This 261-nucleotide long non-coding RNA is filed under the name Elaeis guineensis (African oil palm). RNAcentral describes it as "long non-coding RNA (EGUI_LNC044871)". The record is from RNAcentral. Lineage: Eukaryota; Viridiplantae; Streptophyta; Magnoliopsida; Arecales; Arecaceae.